UUCAAUGUUGUGAAGAAAGCUUAAAGUUGAAAAAGAUUUAGUGUUGUAUUCGAGUUUCAAGGACCGUUUUCGAUGACUAUCUAUUUGCCAGACGUCUCCUUUCCCCAAAUAUAUAAACUCUUGAUAAAAGCGGAUUAAUAAAAGAAAAUAUGUAGGUCGAUAUCCCGCUGUUUUUAAUCAUUCGAUUUAAUCUACCCCAAUAUUAAACAAUAUAACCAAUACUAACACAACAGCUUUUUUUAUUCGUUUCGAUUUUCUUCAUAUUCAUUAAUGGUAUUAAAUCAAUUAAAUGGAUCGGUAUAAAAGUUGAUGGUCGAUCGGGAAAGGUUCAGUGCUCAGUGAAGGAGUCGAGUGGAAUCGUCUAAUCUUAGACGAUCCACUUAAUUUAUUUAUAUAUUUUUGUUUGUUGUGGGGAGGUGGAAACUAUAUAAUCAAUGACUCAUCAAUUCUCCAGUGCAAGCACUCAAGCAGUGUGGGUGUGCAUCGCGCUCACGUUGGUUUCGCAGUUGGUAUUGACAUACCCAUCCGGAAAGAGGCAGAACUUUUUCCAUUUGGAGUGCAAGGGACAAUACAACAAAAGUGUAUUUGCACGCCUAGAUCGUAUCUGCGAGGAUUGCUACAAUCUCUUCAGAGAACCAGAAAUCCAUACACUAUGCAGAGACAAAUGUUUUACAACACACUACUUCAAGGGUUGCAUCGACGCGUUACUACUAGGAGAUGAAACAACAUCUCUCCAAGAAAUGAUAAGAGUACUACAUGGGGCAGAUCUUCCUGGGGCAUAGGGAAGAUUGCUUUACCUCGGAAGUAUUCCAAGGCUGCAUAGAAAUACUUCUCAUCACCGACGAAAUUGAAUUAAUGGCUAUCCACAACGGUGUCGAAAUAUUGGGGAAAUGAAGAGCUAAACAAAUUAACAAGCAAACAAAAAAAAUUAAUCAAAAGUUUCCCCGUCGUUGUCCUUCUAUUCUAGUCAACCAAAAAGUAUAAUGUGUAUAUUGCGUUUUAGUGUUUAGUAGAUAGGAGAAGAAACGUUUAUUUAUUAGUCUGUUGCGUAAAUAGCCCCAAACAUAACUGUCGUAAAAUUACAUUAAAAGGAAGAUAAAUACAUCACAGGUCACAUUAUUAAUAUUAUUUUUUUAUUAAGUUAUUUUAUAUUAAAGAAAAAAGACAAAAAUUAAUUUUGAUUAGAUUAU
Non-coding RNA from Onthophagus taurus, 1190 nucleotides. Lineage: Eukaryota; Metazoa; Arthropoda; Insecta; Coleoptera; Scarabaeidae. The record is from RefSeq and is a predicted model, not a curated record.